GCGGAAGUGGCGAAAUUGGUAGACGCACCAGAUUUAGGAUCUGGCACUCAAAAAGUAUGCGAGUUCGAGUCUCGCCUUCCGCA
This 83-nucleotide transfer RNA is filed under the name Wigglesworthia glossinidia endosymbiont of Glossina morsitans morsitans (Yale colony). RNAcentral's name for it is "tRNA-Leu (TAG) (tRNA-Leu-TAG-1-1)". It matches the Rfam family "tRNA". Rfam says of the family: Transfer RNA (tRNA) molecules are approximately 80 nucleotides in length. Lineage: Bacteria; Pseudomonadati; Pseudomonadota; Gammaproteobacteria; Enterobacterales; Erwiniaceae. The record is from RNAcentral.